GAAAUCAAUAUUAUGAGUUUUAAUUAAUAAUAUCAUGGUAUUCUUAUAAAUUAUGGUAUCAAUUUGACAAAUUUUACGUUUAUAAUUUUCGAAUCUCCUAACAAGCAGUCAAUAAUAUUCUAUAAAUAACCAAGUGGUCGUGAUCUACUGGUUUCCACUUGAGGAGGAAUUGCCUUGUUGGUCUAGGUUAGGGAUCGAUUCUCCUCAAGUGCCAAAUUGUUAGUCAUUUCCAUAAACUAAACGAACUUUUCGGCGUUUUUUUUU
This 264-nucleotide small RNA is filed under the name Arabidopsis thaliana (thale cress). Its description in RNAcentral is "ATSL055590". The record is from RNAcentral. Lineage: Eukaryota; Viridiplantae; Streptophyta; Magnoliopsida; Brassicales; Brassicaceae.